GAUGAACGCUGGCGGCGCGCCUAACACAUGCAAGUCGAACGAUUAAAGCACCUUCGGGUGUGUAUAAAGUGGCGAACGGCUGAGUAACACGUGGGCAACCUGCCCCUCUCAUUGGGAUAGCCACGGGAAACCGUGGAUAAUACCGAAUACUUCGGGACUUCCGCAUGGAAGACUCGAGAAAGCUCCGGAGGAGAGGGAUGGGCCCGCGGCCUGUUAGCUUGUUGGUGGGGUAAUGGCCUACCAAGGCAAUGAUGGGUAGCUGGGUUGAGAGACCGACCAGCCAGAUUGGGACUGAGACACGGCCCAGACUCCUACGGGAGGCAGCAGUGGGGAAUCUUGCACAAUGGGCGAAAGCCUGAUGCAGCGACGCCGCGUGCGGGAUGAAGGCCUUCGGGUUGUAAACCGCUUUCAGCAGGGACGAGGCGAAAGUGACGGUACCUGCAGAAGAAGCCCCGGCUAACUACGU
Molecule: ribosomal RNA, 466 nt
Filed under: uncultured bacterium
Lineage: Bacteria
Description: partial 16S ribosomal RNA
Rfam family: Bacterial small subunit ribosomal RNA
Source: RNAcentral